RNAcentral lists this transfer RNA (69 nucleotides) under uncultured Ottowia sp. It matches the Rfam family "tRNA". Rfam says of the family: Transfer RNA (tRNA) molecules are approximately 80 nucleotides in length. Their secondary structure includes four short double-helical elements and three loops (D, anti-codon, and T loops). The record is from RNAcentral. Lineage: Bacteria; Pseudomonadati; Pseudomonadota; Betaproteobacteria; Burkholderiales; Comamonadaceae.
CGGUUUAGCUCAGUUGGUAGAGCACCCGCCUUGUAAGCGGAAGGUCGCCAGUUCAAGUCCGGCAACCGG